UACGAAGGGGACUAGCGUUGUUCGGAAUCACUGGGCGUAAAGCGCACGUAGGCGGAUGUGUCAGUCAGGGGUGAAAUCCCGGGGCUCAACCUCGGAACUGCCUUUGAUACAGCACGUCUCGAGUCCGGAAGAGGUGGGUGGAAUUUACGGUGUAGCAGUGAAAUGCGUAGAUAUCGUAAGGAAGACCAGUGGCGAAGGCGAAUCUCUGGACAGUUACUGACACUGAGGCACGAAGGCCAGGGGAGCAAACGGG
Molecule: ribosomal RNA, 253 nt
Filed under: uncultured bacterium
Lineage: Bacteria
Description: partial 16S ribosomal RNA
Rfam family: Bacterial small subunit ribosomal RNA
Source: RNAcentral